GGGCGAUUAGCUCAGCUGGUUAGAGCGUCUCUCUUACACAGAGAAGGUCGAAGGUUCGAGUCCUUCAUCGCCCACCA
Molecule: transfer RNA, 77 nt
Filed under: Chloroflexota bacterium
Lineage: Bacteria; Bacillati; Chloroflexota
Also listed under: 1 other name
Description: Chloroflexi bacterium tRNA-Val
Rfam family: tRNA
About the family: Transfer RNA (tRNA) molecules are approximately 80 nucleotides in length. Their secondary structure includes four short double-helical elements and three loops (D, anti-codon, and T loops). Further hydrogen bonds mediate the characteristic L-shaped molecular structure. tRNAs have two regions of fundamental functional importance: the anti-codon, which is responsible for specific mRNA codon recognition, and the 3' end, to which the tRNAs corresponding amino acid is attached (by aminoacyl-tRNA synthetases). tRNAs cope with the degeneracy of the genetic code in two manners: having more than one tRNA (with a specific anti-codon) for a particular amino acid; and 'wobble' base-pairing, i.e. permitting non-standard base-pairing at the 3rd anti-codon position.
Source: RNAcentral